GUCUGGAAUCAGGAGGCCUGGUUCUAGCCCAAGCACAGUCUCCAGCUUAAGGAAUGACCUUAAGCAAGCACUUCUUCCCUCAGGGCAACAUUUAAAAAAAUAAGAAGAUUGGAUUGAUCAACAUUUUACUGCCUGUAUUUCACAGGACAUUCUCCUUUUAAUAUAUUUGCUUGAACCUUCUUGAAAACAGGACUCCACGGACAAAUAAGGGUCUGGCUCUAUUGCCCAGGUUGGAGUGCAGCGGUGUGAUCUUGGCUCACUGCAACCUCUACCUCCGGGGCUCAAGCAAUCCUCCUAUCUCAGCCUUCCAAGUAGCUGGGACUAUAGGAGAGAGCCACCAUGUCAUGACAACACAUGUCAUGAGAAAGCCCUGAGGAGAAGUCCCUGUGGGGAGAAACUGAGACCUGCCACCAACAACUAGAAUCGCCUUGCCAGCCAUGUCUAACACCAGCAAUAUUUACACACCGAAGGCACGAGUAUGGCCAUUUGGGGGGCUGUGAUAUUGUUAUUGAGGAGUUUUCCAGAGAUAACUAGACAAGAGCUAGAAAACAAUGGAAGGAACUUUAGAAGCUCACAGGAUAAUCCGGCAUUGUUCACCCUGUGUAAAGGCUCUAUGGUGGAUCCAUCAGGCUAUCAGUCAGGUGUGGAAAGGGAAGAUCUCAGUUUCAAUGGAGCAUUGGAUUUACACAAGUCAAGAGGCAAAAAGUGGGCUUUGCUGAAGACUGAUGCUAAAGCUGAAUUCUGGACAAUGAGUAGCAAUGAGCCAUGUAAAGAAAAGGAAGUGAGUAGGUCCUGAGGCAAAACAGAGUUUGCCACGUUUGAGGAACUGUGAGAGAACUGUUGUUCCCAGUGGGAGAACACUAAGAAUGAAAUUGGCUCAAAAUGAGGCUGGAGAUGUAGGCUUAGAUUACAUAGGUUGGCCAGCAUAGGAAUUUUAGAUUUCAUUUUAAAAAUCAAUGGGGAAUCAUUAAAUUGCUUUAAGUUAGAGAGGAGGAAUAGCUGCAGAGCAAAUUUCCAUUUUUUGAAGAUUAUUUUAUGGGUAAGACCUCCAGAAUAGCCACCACCAUCCCCCCAUCACCAUAUCCCCCCACCAUCUCCCCCCACCAUACUCCCACCACAUUCCCCCCAUAUCCCCCACCACCACAACAUCCCCACCACCACCACAUACCCCCCCCACCACAUCCUCCCAACCACAUCCCCCCAUCACCACAUCCCCCCCCACAUCCCCCCCACCACAUCCCCCUCGACCACCACCACAUCCCCACCACCACCACAUCCCCCCACCACCUCCACAUCCCCCCCACCACCUCCACAUCCCCCCCACCACCACAUCCCCCCACCACCUCCACAUCCCCCCCACCACCUCCACAUCCCCCCCACCACCUCCACAUCACCCCCACCACCACAUAACCCCCCACCACCACAUCCCCCCUAGCACCACCACCACAUCCCCCACCACCACCACCACAUCCCCCACCACCACCACCACAUCCCCCCCACACCACAUCCCCCACCACCACCACAUCCCCCCCCCACCACAUCCCCACCCCACCACCAUAUCCCUGAUACCACCACCAUCCCUGGAUCAUGGAAGCUGUAUUCUAGGCAGGCACAUCCGAGAUGACCAGGGUACUCUUUCUCCACCCAGCCCUCAGUCAUAGGAUAGAAACUACCUCAGGCAUGGCAAGCUGCAAACACUGGCAGUCCAAUAGCUCUCUGCCCACAUUCCAUGUGCUCUUAGGAGAGUUUCCAUGCCAGGAAGGUCAAGCCAAGUAGACAAGGGAUUACCAUCCACCCACCCCAACCCUAUUCAUAGAGCAAGGGUGUCACAUCGAUAAGUAGGUCUCCACCCCCAACUCCAGUGCAUAGCACAGGGUCUCUGCCCAGAGGAGAGGCAGGCCAUGAGAUGAAGAGCUCUGUGGCUCUGCCUGAGGGGACCAGCUGUUUGGAACACAGAGUGGAGAAUUCCAGGCCUAAGAAUGCUGUGCAACAUGGACAACAUGGGGAAAACCCAGCUCUAAAAAUAAAUAAAUAAAUAAAUAAAUA
Pan troglodytes (chimpanzee) is the source of this 2046-nucleotide long non-coding RNA. RefSeq lists it as uncharacterized. The transcript has 6 exons. Lineage: Eukaryota; Metazoa; Chordata; Mammalia; Primates; Hominidae. The record is from RefSeq and is a predicted model, not a curated record.